RNAcentral lists this ribosomal RNA (518 nucleotides) under Cytospora leucostoma. RNAcentral's name for it is "partial 28S ribosomal RNA". It matches the Rfam family "Eukaryotic large subunit ribosomal RNA", at positions 89 to 630 of the family's 3401-position model. Lineage: Eukaryota; Fungi; Ascomycota; Sordariomycetes; Diaporthales; Cytosporaceae. The record is from RNAcentral.
GCGAGUGAAGCGGCAACAGCUCAAAUUUGAAAGCUGGCUCCGGCCCGCAUUGUAAUUUGCAGAGGAUGCUUUUGGCGAGGUGCCUUCCGAGUUCCCUGGAACGGGACGCCAUAGAGGGUGAGAGCCCCGUAUGGAUGGACACCAGACCUGUGUAAAGCUCCUUCAACGAGUCGAGUAGUUUGGGAAUGCUGCUCUAAAUGGGAGGUAAAUCUCUUCUAAAGCUAAAUACCGGCCAGAGACCGAUAGCGCACAAGUAGAGUGAUCGAAAGAUGAAAAGCACCUUGAAAAGGGGGUUAAAUAGUACGUGAAAUUGUUGAAAGGGAAGCAUUUAUGACCAGACUUGCGCCGGGCAGCUCAUCAGGGGUUCUCCCCUGUGCACUCUGCCCGGCUCAGGCCAGCAUCGGUUCUCGUGGGAGGAUAAGAACAGUGGGAACGUGGCCCCCCUCCGGGGGGGUGUUAUAGCCCAUUGUACGAUACUCUCGUGGGGACCGAGGUUCGCGCUCCGCAAGGAUGCUGGC